RNAcentral lists this non-coding RNA (45 nucleotides) under Schistosoma haematobium. Lineage: Eukaryota; Metazoa; Platyhelminthes; Trematoda; Strigeidida; Schistosomatidae. The record is from RNAcentral.
AUUCAGUUGACGAGUCCGAAACAGAACGAAACGUGCAUUCUGGAU